UGAUGUAGGUUGUUACGUGAUUUCUAAAAUUAUGUUAACAGUAUUAUUUUGAAAAAUAAUUUUAAAUUAUAAUAUAAACAUAUUAUUGUACUUUAUAUUUAUAUAAAAAAUUAUUUAUUAUAUUAUUUCUAUUUGCUUUAUUUUUAUAAUACAAAUAAAUAUUAGUAUUAGAAAAUAAUUAUAAUUAUAAAUAAAAAUGUUAAUUCUAUAAUAAUAAG
RNAcentral lists this long non-coding RNA (218 nucleotides) under Phoenix dactylifera (date palm). RNAcentral's name for it is "long non-coding RNA (PDAC_LNC002706)". Lineage: Eukaryota; Viridiplantae; Streptophyta; Magnoliopsida; Arecales; Arecaceae. The record is from RNAcentral.